CAGCCGCCGCGGUAAUACGUAAGUGGCGAGCGUUGUCCGGAAUUAUUGGGCGUAAAGGGAGCGCAGGCGGACAUAUAAGUCCAUCUUGAAAGUGCGGGGCUCAACCCCGUGAGGGGAUGGAAACUGUAUGCCUUGAGUGCAGGAGAGGAAAGCGGAAUUCCCAGUGUAGCGGUGAAAUGCGUAGAUAUUGGGAGGAACACCGGCGGCGAAGGCGGCUUACUGGACGACAACUGACGUUGAGGCUCGAAGGCGUGGGUAGCAAACAGGAUUAGAUACCCCCGUAGUCCUGUCUCUUAUACAC
Molecule: ribosomal RNA, 301 nt
Filed under: uncultured bacterium
Lineage: Bacteria
Description: partial 16S ribosomal RNA
Rfam family: Bacterial small subunit ribosomal RNA
Source: RNAcentral